GGGAAAGGAUGGGAAGGGGGGAGGAGGGGAGGAGGGAAAAGGAAGGGUGAAGAGGGAAAGGGAAGGGAGGAAGAAAGGGGAGAGAGGGAAGAGGAAGGGGAGGGGGAGAAGGGAAAGAAUACACUGAUUCUAGGAAUCAACCUGAGGGUUUCUCCAGA
Long non-coding RNA from Perognathus longimembris pacificus (Pacific pocket mouse), 158 nucleotides. RefSeq lists it as uncharacterized. The transcript is spliced from 3 exons. Lineage: Eukaryota; Metazoa; Chordata; Mammalia; Rodentia; Heteromyidae. The record is from RefSeq and is a predicted model, not a curated record.